GAUGAAGAACGUAGCGAAAUGCGAUAAGUAAUGUGAAUUGCAGAAUUCAGUGAAUCAUCGAAUCUUUGAACGCAUCUUGCGCUCCUUGGUAUUCCUUGGAGCAUGUCUGUUUGAGUAUCAUGAGCAAAUCUCAAAGUCAAUUCCUUUUGUUGAUUCAAUUGGUUUUGCUUUGGACUUGGAGGCCUUGCAGAUUUCACAGUCUGCUCCUCUUAAAUGCAUUAGCUGGAUCUCAGUAAUUAUGCUUGGUUCCACUCGGCGUGAUAAGUAUCACUCGCUGAGGACACUGUUAAAAAGGUGGCCAGGAAAAUACUGAUUGAACCGCUACUAACGGUCUAUUAAGUUAGACAAUUACCCUUAAGUUUGAUCUCAAAUCAGGUAGGACUACCCGCUGAACUUAAGCAUAUCAAUAAGCGGAGGA
This 418-nucleotide unclassified non-coding RNA is filed under the name soil metagenome. Its description in RNAcentral is "partial contains 5.8S ribosomal RNA, internal transcribed spacer 2, and large subunit ribosomal RNA". The stretch from base 1 to 120 matches the Rfam family "5.8S ribosomal RNA", at positions 35 to 154 of the family's 154-position model. The record is from RNAcentral.